AUUAGAUACCCUGGUAGUCCACGCAGUAAACGAUGAAUGCUAAUUGUCCGUUGCGAGUGAGCGAUGGGUGAUACAGCGAAAGCGUUAAGCAUUCCACCUGGGGAGUACGCCGGCAACGGUGAAACUCAAAGGAAUUGACGGGGGCCCGCACAAGCGGAGGAACAUGUGGUUUAAUUCGAUGAUACGCGAGGAACCUUACCCGGGCUCAAACGCCGUCUGACGUAGGCUGAAAGGCUUAUUUCUUCGGACAGACGGCGAGGUGCUGCAUGGUUGUCGUCAGCUCGUGCCGUGAGGUGUCGGCUUAAGUGCCAUAACGAGCGCAACCCCUACCGUCAGUUGCCAACAGGUAAGGCUGGGGACUCUGACGGGACUGCCGGCGCAAGCUGCGAGGAAGGCGGGGAUGACGUCAAAUCAGCACGGCCCUUACGUCCGGGGCGACACACGUGUUACAAUGGCAGGUACAGCGGGAAGCCACCUGGCGACAGGGCGCGGAACCCGAAAACCUGUCUCAGUUCGGAUUGGAGUCUGCAACCCGACUCCAUGAAGCUGGAUUCGCUAGUAAUCGCGCAUCAGCCACGGCGCGGUGAAUACGUUCCCGGGCCUUGUACACACCGCCCGUCAAGCCAUGGGAGCCGGGAGUGCCUGAAGUGCGUGAGCGCGAGCAGCGCCCUA
This 672-nucleotide ribosomal RNA is filed under the name uncultured bacterium. Its description in RNAcentral is "bacterial SSU rRNA". It matches the Rfam family "Bacterial small subunit ribosomal RNA", at positions 777 to 1459 of the family's 1533-position model. The record is from RNAcentral.